UUUUAAAUAGUUUCUGCUCAAUGAAAUUUAAAUAGCCGCGGUAUUUUAACUGUGCUAAGGUAGCAUAAUAAUUAGUUUUUUAAUUAAAAACUGGCAUGAAGGAAAAUAUGAGGAACUAACUAUUUUUAUUUAAUAGAUAGAACUUAAUUUUUAAGUGAAAAAUCUUAAAUGGUUUAAAAAGACAAGAAGACCCUUUAGAAUUUUAUAGCUAAUGAUUUUAAAAAAUUAUUAAUCUAUUUGGUUGGGGUGACUGUAAAAUAUUCAUUACUUUUAUUGUGGUUUAUCACUGUUAGGUGAAUUUUGGUUUAUAUCUUUUGUGAAGUAAAAUUAAAUUACCUGAGGGAUAACAGUACAAAAUUUUUUAUAAGUUCUUAUUAUUAAAAUAAAUUGUAACCUCGAUGUUGGAUUAAGAA
This 413-nucleotide ribosomal RNA is filed under the name Metabemisia filicis. RNAcentral describes it as "partial 16S ribosomal RNA". Lineage: Eukaryota; Metazoa; Arthropoda; Insecta; Hemiptera; Aleyrodidae. The record is from RNAcentral.